UUUAAAGCAUUGAUUAGAAGUAGUAAUAUUUUAUUUCAUUUAUUUAGAGAGCUGCUGUUUGGUGAAAAGUAGUAAUGAAGAAAUAUGAACUUGUCUAGGAGUUUCUUUGUUAAAAGCAAAGACGUUAACUGCGUUAAAGUUUCAAGUGGAAAUAAUUAAUUUUAUUUCAACAAGAGUGGUACCGCGGAAUUUAACCUUUCGUCUCUUAA
Molecule: non-coding RNA, 209 nt
Filed under: Clostridium intestinale
Lineage: Bacteria; Bacillati; Bacillota; Clostridia; Eubacteriales; Clostridiaceae
Description: T-box sequence
Rfam family: T-box leader
About the family: Uncharged tRNA acts as the effector for transcription antitermination of genes in the T-box leader family. T-boxes are found upstream of many aminoacyl-tRNA synthetase genes and some amino acid biosynthetic genes usually in Gram-positive bacteria.
Source: RNAcentral